Molecule: transfer RNA, 63 nt
Filed under: Ictidomys tridecemlineatus (thirteen-lined ground squirrel)
Lineage: Eukaryota; Metazoa; Chordata; Mammalia; Rodentia; Sciuridae
Description: Spermophilus tridecemlineatus (thirteen-lined ground squirrel) tRNA
Rfam family: tRNA
About the family: Transfer RNA (tRNA) molecules are approximately 80 nucleotides in length. Their secondary structure includes four short double-helical elements and three loops (D, anti-codon, and T loops). Further hydrogen bonds mediate the characteristic L-shaped molecular structure. tRNAs have two regions of fundamental functional importance: the anti-codon, which is responsible for specific mRNA codon recognition, and the 3' end, to which the tRNAs corresponding amino acid is attached (by aminoacyl-tRNA synthetases). tRNAs cope with the degeneracy of the genetic code in two manners: having more than one tRNA (with a specific anti-codon) for a particular amino acid; and 'wobble' base-pairing, i.e. permitting non-standard base-pairing at the 3rd anti-codon position.
Source: Rfam by way of RNAcentral
GAGGUUGUAGCUCUGUGGUUGAGUGCAUGUCUUACACAUAUGAGGCACUGGGUUUCAUCCUCA